ACUAUUUUGGCAGAAAAGUGCCAUGGAUUUAGAAUCCAUAAAUGUAAGAAUAAACUUACAGAUAGUA
This 67-nucleotide transfer RNA is filed under the name Anax parthenope (lesser emperor dragonfly). RNAcentral's name for it is "tRNA-Leu". It matches the Rfam family "tRNA". Rfam says of the family: Transfer RNA (tRNA) molecules are approximately 80 nucleotides in length. Their secondary structure includes four short double-helical elements and three loops (D, anti-codon, and T loops). Lineage: Eukaryota; Metazoa; Arthropoda; Insecta; Odonata; Aeshnidae. The record is from RNAcentral.